RNAcentral lists this ribosomal RNA (743 nucleotides) under uncultured organism. RNAcentral describes it as "bacterial SSU rRNA". It matches the Rfam family "Bacterial small subunit ribosomal RNA", at positions 727 to 1466 of the family's 1533-position model. The record is from RNAcentral.
UACUGGGGCAUAACUGACGCUGAGGCACGAAAGCGUGGGGAGCGAACGGGAUUAGAUACCCCGGUAGUCCACGCUGUAAACGCUGGAUACUAGAUGUUGGGUGUUUUACGAAACACUCGGUGUCGUAGCUAACGCGAUAAGUAUCCCGCCUGGGGAGUACGGUCGCAAGAUUAAAACUCAAAGGAAUUGACGGGGGCCCGCACAAGCGGUGGAGCAUGUGGUUUAAUUCGAUGCAACGCGAAGAACCUUACCCGGACUUGACAUCCCUGGCUACACAUAGAGAUAUGUGGUAUCUCUUCGGAGAUUCAGGAGACAGGUGCUGCAUGGCUGUCGUCAGCUCGUGUUGUGAGAUGUUGGGUUAAGUCCCGCAACGAGCGCAACCCUUACUGUCAGUUGCCAGCAUUAAGUUGGGCACUCUGACGGGACUGCCCGGGUUAACCGGGAGGAAGGUGGGGAUGACGUCAAGUCCUCAUGGCCCUUAUGUCCGGGGCUACACACGUGCUACAAUGGUGCAGACAGAGGGAAGCGAGACGGUAACGUUAAGCGAAUCUCAGAAACUGUACCUCAGUUCGGAUUGGGGUCUGCAACUCGACCCUAUGAAGUUGGAAUCGCUAGUAAUCGCGGAACAGCAUGCCGCGGUGAAUAUGUUCCCGGGCCUUGUACACACCGCCCGUCACACCAUGGGAGUUGUUCUCACUGGAAGACGUUGAGCCAGCCUUCGGGAGGCAGGCGUCAAUGGUGGG